Unclassified non-coding RNA from Pongo abelii (Sumatran orangutan), 147 nucleotides. It matches the Rfam family "Metazoan signal recognition particle RNA". From Rfam's summary of the family: The signal recognition particle (SRP) is a universally conserved ribonucleoprotein. It is involved in the co-translational targeting of proteins to membranes. The record is from Ensembl. Lineage: Eukaryota; Metazoa; Chordata; Mammalia; Primates; Hominidae.
GCUGGGCAUGGUGGCACAUGCCUGUAGUCCCAGCUACUUAGGAGGCUGAGGUGGGAGGAUUGCUUGAGCCCAGGAGUUUGAGGCUACAGUGAGCUAUGACUGCAUCAUUUGCUCCAGCCUGGGCAGCAGAGUGAGUCCCCAUCUCUU